RNAcentral lists this long non-coding RNA (909 nucleotides) under Sorghum bicolor (sorghum). RNAcentral's name for it is "long non-coding RNA (SBIC_LNC015425)". The record is from RNAcentral. Lineage: Eukaryota; Viridiplantae; Streptophyta; Magnoliopsida; Poales; Poaceae.
GUGCGUGGAUGAUGGUAUGGGAUGUGUCAUGUGCCCAAUAUGGACCCCUCAUGAUUGGCCUAGUGGACCUAGCGAAGCCCAACACGAGGCCACAGAUGCCCUAGGGUGCCUCCUACAUACGACUUGGGAAGGGCGUGGCCAGGGGAGGGCACAGCCAAAGGCGGGCCACCUCCGCCCAUAGAAUUUCCCAAUAUUCGGGAAGAUUGAGAUUAAAUAGGAAAGAUGGAAAAGUGUAGGAAAAUUAAUAAAGAUUUGCCUAGAAAAAAUAGAUUAAGAUUUAUUAGAAAAUAAAUAGUUUUGCUUGUAAAGAAAGUAGUUGAAGUCUAUAAGGACACUUUCCGUAGUUCCUUAGAGAAUAAGUAUAGAUUGCUUGAAGGUCAAGUCCAAUAGGGACUAUAAAUAUAGGAGCAUUGUAACUAUUCUAAUCAAGCAAGAAAUAAAAAUUUGUUGUUUGUGUGCAUGCCACUAUAAUUUGAGUGUGCACCACUACCCUCUCCAUUUGUGUCGCACACACUAAUUUCACUAUCACACACAAAUUUAAGAGAAAAAUUGUGUACUCUAUGGCCCCAAAAGAGAAAAGUUGCUUCAACAAAUGAAAAAAGGAAAGAAAAAAACCUUACCGGACCUAGUAGGGGAUUGAUACCUUGUCCCCGUCCCCGACUUCACUUAUUUUCCCCGCUCCCCGUCUCCGAUCCCCGGCUCGGGGACAUGUUUCUUCCAUCCCUGUCCCCGAUUGUAGUCUCGGGGCCCCAACAAGUGCCGCAUACCCGCGAGCUGGCACACCCCCGAACCACAUGAUUGGGAGAGCAGUUGUAGUCUGAGGGCCCCAAGCAAGCAUCGGCAAGGGAAUCUGAUACUGUAUCAAGGAUCAUCCGUAUAGACUAGAGCAUUCGCAAGGGAGAAUCAACA